GCACCAGACUUCCUGUAAGCUUAUAGCUACAUACUCACAACUGCAUAAAAUCAGCUAUACACGUUGAAUCACUGAGUAAAUCAUAAAAAGUUUGAAGGACAAUAGAUUAUUUGAUGAGUAUGAAGGAUGAUGCAUUAGGUUACUAUUGUUUAUAAAAAAAUGUGCAUGAAAUGGUUUGUGUGCUUGAAUAGGAGAAAAAGUAAGCCCCUUCCUUUUAUCUUUCUGUGAGCUUCUAACUGGUUUGUCGGGUUCUGCCUCAAUCAAUGGGUGCAGCAACCAAAUGUUCCUGGCCAACCUGCAGAUAUUUGAAUGGUUCCAGGCCACCUUUGCAUGUCUGGAUUGCAACAACCACAACUAAACAACACUGAAUGCACAUGUUCAGAAAUUCUGGUCGGGUUUCUCAUGGAGGUGUUGUUGGUGGGUCCUGGGUCUAGAUGAGCUGAGAACCUCCGGCUUAAACAAAGGACAACCUGCGAACACUAGAUCAAACGUUUUAUAUUAUAGCGCAGCAUAUUUGACUUCUCUUUUCAUUUCGUUUGAUCAUAGUUGAUAUUAUUGAUCUUAAUUCUUAUUCUUAGUCAAUAUCAUCAAUCUACUUGUCUAUGUGUGCUUUACUGUUUGUUUUAUACUGUUUGUUAUCUUAUAUCUGCUGUAACUGCUGUAAUUGUCUACUGUUUUGAUGUCUGUUUUUACAAUGCUGCUGUUUCACAUGUGUUAGUUCAGAAAAGCUUAACCAGGGACAAGGACUGGUUAUUAGCCCUGGCUAGAAGUCCUGUAUACAUUGCAUUCGUUGCACUUUAAUAAGAAGUAACAAACAUGUAUUAUCCCUGGCAAAUAAAUUGAUUAAUAAAACUAAUCAGAGCAACAACAACA
Non-coding RNA from Labrus bergylta (ballan wrasse), 873 nucleotides. Lineage: Eukaryota; Metazoa; Chordata; Actinopteri; Labriformes; Labridae. The record is from RefSeq and is a predicted model, not a curated record.